Molecule: ribosomal RNA, 253 nt
Filed under: uncultured bacterium
Lineage: Bacteria
Description: partial 16S ribosomal RNA
Rfam family: Bacterial small subunit ribosomal RNA
Source: RNAcentral
UACGGAGGGCGCAAGCAUUAAUCGGAUUUACUGGGUGUAAAGAGUGCGUAGGCGGACAGGCAAGUCAGAUGUGAAAUUCCGUUGCUUAACAUCGGAGCUGCAUUUGAUACUACCUGUCUUGAGGAUAGAUGGAGAAAACGGAAUUCCACGUGUAGCGGUGAAAUGCGUAGAUAUGUGGAAGAACACCUGUGGCGUAAGCGGUUUUCUAAUUUAUUCCUGACGCUGAGGUACGAGAGCAAGGGGAGCAAACAGG